RNAcentral lists this long non-coding RNA (1747 nucleotides) under Equus caballus (horse). RNAcentral describes it as "lncRNA (ENSECAG00000030955.2)". Lineage: Eukaryota; Metazoa; Chordata; Mammalia; Perissodactyla; Equidae. The record is from RNAcentral.
CUCCAAGGGUUUUGGGAGCUGUGAGCCUAGAACUGUGGACAAAGACCAAAUAUAUAUGAGAAAUAUACUUUGGUCAUUCGAAUGACCAAGUAUAUGUUACUUUAAAUCAUAAUAUCGCAGAAAGAGAGACAACUGUAUGGACGUAUGCUGAGGUGACAGAAUGAGUCACGGGGGCCAGACCUGGAUAAAGGAGAUAAUGUGUGGGGGAGGUGAAUCGGGAAAGGACACUGAGGGAGUGAGAGUGAAAAUGAGAGCGUAAUAUGAGAAGCCUGAGCCUGAAACGUAGGGAAAACCCCUCACGACAAUUACAGUAUAAGGAAAACUUCAAUUCAAUGCUUGCAAUUAAAAACAUUAGUUUAACAAGAAGGAAACACAGAGAAAUGAGACCAAGAAGAUCAACGAGAGGAGAGCUAGUCACCACAGGGACGGUCUAGGUGUUUAUGUUCUGUUGGAAACGCUGCCACGGGCCUGGCUGAUCUGAGGACCACUGACCAGAGUCUUUAGACAUUUUAUCCAUUAGCAAUUUUUUCAGUCUUUUUUUUUUUUUCUGCUUUAUCUCCCCAAAUCUCCUCGGUACAUAGUUGUAUAUCUUAGCUGCAGAUCCUUCUAGUUGUGGCAUGUGGGACAGCGCCUCAAUGUGGCCUGAUGAGCAGUGCCACGUCUGCACACAGGAUCAGAAUUGCUGAAACCCUGGGCCACUGCAGCAGAGCGCGCGAACUUAACCACUCGGCCACGGGGCCGGCCUCAAUUUUUUCAGUCUUAAAGGAAGAAAAUCUGUAGUGCCAAUGAACAUGAUCCAGCAUAGCCUGAAACUAUGAACUGUAUGGGAAAACGAAUGAGAAAUCUGACCUGUUGAAAUGAAAAAACAGCAUCUCCGGUCAGUCUGAGAAGCCCAUCCUCCCAGGAAGCAGUUUCUGACACGCAGAGCAGGCUCCUGCAGCAAGGUGAUAGCCUGGAAAGCCAGGCCGUUGUGUGAAGAGAGAAGUUUGCAAGUAUCACCAUUUUCCUCCUUAAAUAUAGGAAGGGGCCAGCAGUGGUCCAGCUGCCUGUGACAGCACAGCCAGGGGGCUUUCUUCCACAGCUUUCCCGAUGGAAGGAGCCUCUACAGCAAGCGGAAUCAGAGAAAGGCCUGACCCUUUUUCACCCUGGGAGAUUCGAGGAAGAAGAGAGAAAGGAACGAGGGCAGUGGAAUAAAGGGGAUGUGUCCCAGGGUUCCCCCUUCCUGGGUUUUGCAAAUGGAGGAGAAUAUGAGGGUGGCCCUGGCAGGCGGGCCAGACAACAGCUGCUCUCCAAAUGCCUGUCCCGGGCGUCUCCAAAUGCCUGUCCCGGGCGUCUCUGAGAGCUGGGCUCAGGGCCGGGGAGAGGACUCGCAAGAACGAGGAAACACACGGCAAAGAACAUCCCUGGCUCGGAAUUCACAAGCCCAGGAUAUCCCUGUCCUAACAGGAGAAGUUCAUAGUCUACUGUGUCUAGAGGCUGAUUUUGUUUUUAAAUAAAAUCACGAUUCAUUUUAAGGAGGGCUUAGAGAUACUUCUGGUAUGCGUGAUAUUUCCAAGUCUGGUGGGAAAUUCUGAUUCCUAAUUCCUUCUUUUUUAAAUCAAAUGCUGGAAACAGAGGGAAAGCACCUAGCUCCCCUCCAUCCUGAGUUACAGUGUAAGCUUUAACGUAAACAGCACUUCAUUGACAAGUAGACUGAGAUUCUGUUUUCAGAUUUCCCAUUAGCUAGUUCUGUGACCUUGAGCAAGCC